CCUACGGGAGGCAGCAGUGAGGAAUAUUGGUCAAUGGACGAGAGUCUGAACCAGCCAAGUAGCGUGAAGGAUGACUGCCCUAUGGGUUGUAAACUUCUUUUAUAUGGGAAUAAAACAGGGUAUGCAUACCCUCUUGUAUGUACCAUAUGAAUAAGGAUCGGCUAACUCCGUGCCAGCAGCCGCGGUAAUACGGAGGAUCCGAGCGUUAUCCGGAUUUAUUGGGUUUAAAGGGAGCGUAGGUGGAUUGUCAAGUCAGUUGUGAAAGUUUGCGGCUCAACCGGAAAAUUGCAGUUGAAACUGGCAGUCGUGAGUACAGUAGAGGUGGGCGGAAUUCGUGGUGUAGCGGUGAAAUGCUUAGAUAUCACGAAGAACUCCGAUUGCGAAGGCAGCUCACUGGACUGCAACUGACACUGAUGCUCGAAAGUGUGGGUAUCAAACAGGAUUAGAUACCCGGGUAGUC
RNAcentral lists this ribosomal RNA (460 nucleotides) under uncultured bacterium. RNAcentral describes it as "partial 16S ribosomal RNA". It matches the Rfam family "Bacterial small subunit ribosomal RNA", at positions 338 to 795 of the family's 1533-position model. The record is from RNAcentral.